CGCCGAAACGCCUGCGGGCGUCGUCCGGCGGUGGUUCGCCGGGCCUGAUGAUGGUAGCCAACC
RNAcentral lists this non-coding RNA (63 nucleotides) under Planctomycetaceae bacterium. Lineage: Bacteria; Pseudomonadati; Planctomycetota; Planctomycetia; Planctomycetales; Planctomycetaceae. The record is from RNAcentral.